GUUCUUCACAUUCUUCACAUUCACCAGACACCAGAUUUCUAAGAAGACUGAGAAACAUGUUCCUAGCCAGAAUCCAGUGAACAUGAAGACAAAAGUGCAG
This 100-nucleotide small RNA is filed under the name Pan troglodytes (chimpanzee). RNAcentral describes it as "processed transcript". The record is from RNAcentral. Lineage: Eukaryota; Metazoa; Chordata; Mammalia; Primates; Hominidae.